AAUAGAUACCCUGGUAGUCCACCCCGUAAACGUUGGGAACUAGUUGUGGGGACCAUUCCACGGUUUCCGUGACGCAGCUAACGCAUUAAGUUCCCCGCCUGGGGAGUACGGCCGCAAGGCUAAAACUCAAAGGAAUUGACGGGGACCCGCACAAGCGGCGGAGCAUGCGGAUUAAUUCGAUGCAACGCGAAGAACCUUACCAAGGCUUGACAUAUACGAGAACGGGCCAGAAAUGGUCAACUCUUUGGACACUCGUAAACAGGUGGUGCAUGGUUGUCGUCAGCUCGUGUCGUGAGAUGUUGGGUUAAGUCCCGCAACGAGCGCAACCCUCGUUCUAUGUUGCCAGCACGUAAUGGUGGGAACUCAUGGGAUACUGCCGGGGUCAACUCGGAGGAAGGUGGGGAUGACGUCAAAUCAUCAUGCCCCUUACGUCCAGGGCUACACACGUGCUACAAUGGCCGGUACAGCGUGUCGCCAACUCGCGAGAGUGCGCCAAUCACGAAAAGCCGGUCUAAGUUCGGAUUGCAGUCUGCAA
RNAcentral lists this ribosomal RNA (535 nucleotides) under uncultured bacterium. RNAcentral's name for it is "bacterial SSU rRNA". It matches the Rfam family "Bacterial small subunit ribosomal RNA", at positions 777 to 1310 of the family's 1533-position model. The record is from RNAcentral.